AUUGAACGCUGGCGGCAGGCCUAACACAUGCCAGUCGAGCGGAUGAAGGGAGCUUGCUCCUGGAUUCAGCGGCGGACGGGUGAGUAAUGCCUAGGAAUCUGCCUGGCAGUGGGGGCUAACGUCCGGAAACGGGCGCUAAUACCGCAUACGUCCUUAGGGAGAAAGUGGGGGAUCUUCGGACCUCACGCUAUCAGAUGAGCCUAGGUCGGAUUAGCUAGUUGGUGGGGUAAAGGCCUACCAAGGCGACGAUCCGUAACUGGUCUGAGAGGAUGAUCAGUCACACUGGAACUGAGACACGGUCCAGACUCCUACGGGAGGCAGCAGUGGGGAAUAUUGGACAAUGGGCGAAAGCCUGAUCCAGCCAUGCCGCGUGGGUGAAGAAGGUCUUCGGAUUGUAAAGCACUUUUAGUUGGGAAGAAGGGCAGUAAGUUAAUACCUUGCUGUUUUGACGUUACCAACAGAAUAAGCACCGGCUAACUUCGUG
Molecule: ribosomal RNA, 484 nt
Filed under: uncultured bacterium
Lineage: Bacteria
Description: partial 16S ribosomal RNA
Rfam family: Bacterial small subunit ribosomal RNA
Source: RNAcentral